RNAcentral lists this ribosomal RNA (119 nucleotides) under Columba livia (rock pigeon). The record is from RNAcentral. Lineage: Eukaryota; Metazoa; Chordata; Aves; Columbiformes; Columbidae.
AUAUACAGCCAUAGCACCCUGAGAAUGCCUGAUCUCAUCUGAUCUGGGAAGCUAAGCAGGGUCGGGUCCGGUCAGUACUUGGAUGGGAGACCAGCUGGGAAUAGAGGGUGCUGUGGGCU